RNAcentral lists this ribosomal RNA (253 nucleotides) under uncultured bacterium. Its description in RNAcentral is "partial 16S ribosomal RNA". It matches the Rfam family "Bacterial small subunit ribosomal RNA", at positions 524 to 776 of the family's 1533-position model. The record is from RNAcentral.
UACGUAGGGUGCGAGCGUUAAUCGGAAUUACUGGGCGUAAAGUGUGCGCAGGCGGCGUUGCAAGUCGAGUGUGAAAUCCCCGAGCUUAACUUGGGAAUUGCGCUCGAAACUACGAUGCUCGAGUAUGGCAGAGGAAGGUGGAAUUCCACGUGUAGCGGUGAAAUGCGUAGAGAUGUGGAGGAACACCGAUGGCGAAGGCAGCCCCCUGGGCUAACACUGACGCUCAUGCACGAAAGCGUGGGGAGCAAACAGG